GAAACCAUCAUGAUUCAGGCAGUCAGAGUCACUUUUUACUUAAACGUUUUUCCUGUCUCCGAUUUCCAGAGUGUUUUUGAGUGAGAAAUAUGUUAAAACGGAGAUAGGAAAUAAAACUUCCUAGUACCUUUUAUUUCUGGGUCUGGAAAUUCUUUUCAUUGAGUACUCUAAGAUUUAGGAUAAUGUUAUUUGUAUUACAGAGUCUAUAGAAAUUAUGUCCUUUAUUAAUUAGAACCCAAUUACGUUUUACUUUGACAAUUUUUAAAGUUUAUAAUCACAUUUAUUCUCCACGCUGUCUCCAAGCGAAGUUAGCAUAUAAACAUACCUGUAUUUUUUUAAUAUAUAUAUUUUUUGUUGGUUAGUCUUGUUGGUGUAGUGGUUGAUUUUAACCAGAUGUCACUCUAGCAUUAUAACAAUUUCUAACCCAUUGGUGACUUUUUAGUUCAUAACUGUCCCAGUUCUUCUUAGUCCAACAAACUCCUAAAUUAUCCCACCUCGUUAAGCUCCACAAAUCACCAUAAAUCACCCCACUUAUGCCUUUAGCACGACUGUAUUUCUUUUAUCUCUCUGAUCCCACUUCAUAGGAGUCCACUAGUGAGUCCUGACCUUCAGGGCAUCCACCCUGCCAGGGGGAACACUACCAGAAGCAUGUGACUUAAUAGAAAGGGGAAUUUUUGAGGUAAGGACUGGCAGGAGCAGUGAGCUCACACUCCCAGAAAUGAAUCAAGCACUAGUCCCCCCCACCCGCCCAUAG
Molecule: long non-coding RNA, 754 nt
Filed under: Marmota monax (woodchuck)
Lineage: Eukaryota; Metazoa; Chordata; Mammalia; Rodentia; Sciuridae
Source: RNAcentral